Molecule: transfer RNA, 71 nt
Filed under: Cyanobacteria bacterium SZAS-4
Lineage: Bacteria; Bacillati; Cyanobacteriota
Description: tRNA-Trp
Rfam family: tRNA
About the family: Transfer RNA (tRNA) molecules are approximately 80 nucleotides in length. Their secondary structure includes four short double-helical elements and three loops (D, anti-codon, and T loops).
Source: RNAcentral
GCGCAAGUCGGUUAACGGCAAACCAGCGGGCUCCAAACUCGCGACUCGUGGUUCAAAUCCACGCUUGCGCG